ACGACCUUACUUGAACAGGAUCUGUUCUAUAGGCUCGUACCACUGUAUCCUUGAGUUCUAAUGAGACAGGAUAUCAAGUCUGGUUGAUGAAUAGUGGCAAUGAGACUAGAGCGUGAUUAACAGCCACCGUGCCCUUUGGGUCAUGGUGCUGUAGAUGAUCGUUCUCUGCCUGGUCCGCUGGGCUGGAGAUGGUCUCGUGGCUAUCUGACAGACU
Small nucleolar RNA from Capsicum annuum, 214 nucleotides. RefSeq annotates it as small nucleolar RNA U3. The record is from RefSeq and is a predicted model, not a curated record. Lineage: Eukaryota; Viridiplantae; Streptophyta; Magnoliopsida; Solanales; Solanaceae. The transcript has a single exon.